CUUUCCGAGUUGUAAUCUAGAGAAGUGUUAUCCAUUCUGGACCGUGUACAAGUCUCCUG
RNAcentral lists this ribosomal RNA (59 nucleotides) under Tricholoma fulvocastaneum. RNAcentral describes it as "partial 28S rRNA". The record is from RNAcentral. Lineage: Eukaryota; Fungi; Basidiomycota; Agaricomycetes; Agaricales; Tricholomataceae.